CGGGAAAUUCCGGAAUUUUGGGGGAAAAUUGGGGAUUUUGGGGGGUCUGGGAUGGAAUUUGGGGGGUCUGGGAUGGAAUUUGGGGUGUCUGGAACGAUCCAGGGGCUCUGGGAUUCAGGGAGUUCCAAAGGAGCCGCUGCUUCCUGAGCCACCACCGCGUGUGGCAGGAGGUGAGGAACGGGAAAUUCUGGAAUUUGGGGGGAAAAUUUGGGAUUUUGGGGGGUCUGGAGCAAUCCAGGAGCUCUGGGAGUGCAGGGGAAUUCAGGGAGUUCCAAAGGAGUUUCUGCUUCCUGAGCCACCACCGGGUGUGGCAGGAGAUCUCGGCGCGGGGCCUGCAGCGCUCGCUGGUGUUCGAGGACGAUCUGCGCUUCGAGGUUUUCUUCCGCAGCCGCCUGGCGGAGCUGAUGGAGCAGCUGGAGCAGGCGGCCAUCGAGUGGGACCUCAUGUGAGAGCCUUCGUCCUCAUCCUCAUCAUCCUCACCCCAGAACUCAGCCCUGUCCCAAUCCAAAUCCCCCUGUAACCUCGUGUGAGCCUUCAUCAUCAUCCUCACCCCAAAACUCAUCCCUGUCCCAAUCCAAAUCCCCCCCUGGGACCUCAUGCGAGCCUUCAUCAUCAUCCUCAUCCCAAAACUCAUCCC
RNAcentral lists this long non-coding RNA (637 nucleotides) under Zonotrichia albicollis (white-throated sparrow). RNAcentral describes it as "lncRNA (ENSZALG00000007485.1)". The record is from RNAcentral. Lineage: Eukaryota; Metazoa; Chordata; Aves; Passeriformes; Passerellidae.